This 89-nucleotide transfer RNA is filed under the name Oscillospiraceae bacterium. Its description in RNAcentral is "tRNA-Leu". It matches the Rfam family "tRNA". Rfam says of the family: Transfer RNA (tRNA) molecules are approximately 80 nucleotides in length. The record is from RNAcentral. Lineage: Bacteria; Bacillati; Bacillota; Clostridia; Eubacteriales; Oscillospiraceae.
GCCGGCGUGGCGGAAUAGGUAGACGCCCGGGACUUAAAAUCCCGUGUGAGGCGACUCACGUACCGGUUCGACCCCGGUCGCCGGCACCA